ACUAAUCCUGCUGUAUACGCCGCUGCUUGUCCGUCUGGAUCGGGUCUUGUAUAAUGACGUGCUGUCUGCUCAACCUCAAAUUCGUCCGGGACUUGCUCUUUCCAAACAUCCGAGUCGAGCAGAAUAAGAACAACAAUGUUCUUUUUGAACGUGCUGAGUAGCUGGAUGCAGUCUGUGCCUCGUGAUGACUCCUGCCCCUCCCCGGACUCUCUCCCUUAGGACCAGGUCUGGCCCGCACUGGCUGUGGAGCUAGCCCAUGUGCUGCAGGUCAGUGCUGAUGUGCUGAGGUGCCACCUAGUGUGUGAGCUGUACAACUACGGCCUGGGCCUGCUUGCUGAGGAGCUGUCCCUGCUCUCUCUUCUCUCAGGAGAUGCUGCAGGUGAAGGAUCAGGAGGUCCUGGCCUCUCAGCUCCUCAUCCUGACGGGUCAGAGACUGACCUUCGCCCUUCUGCACAUCCAGACCAAGUAGGGCAUGGAGUUGCUGGCCAGGCUGCCCCCCGCAAUCUGCCUCUGGCUCAAAGCAAUGGACCUGCAGGACCUGAAGAACACAGCAGUGCCUCUCUCCCGCACAGGGAGGCUGGUGAGCCGGGUCAUUGACGGGUUGCCUGAGAAUCAUGGCCAGUACGGGCUGGCACUGCAUCUCCUGGAGGCUGUGGAUGCCAUGGGAGCACCACAGUGAGGGAGGGGACUGAAGGGGAGGCAUUACUGAGAGAGAGAGAGAGAGAGAGAGAGAGACAGAGAGACAGAGAGAGAGAGACCACUGAGUGAGAACAAGGGUGUGGAGGUACACAGCAGAAAGAGGGAGGCAUUGGGGAGAAUCAUAAGGCAAGAGUUCUGUUUUGAGUUGGUAAUUUGUGUUUUUCUUGGCAAUGUAACUAGGGUAUGACAUACUCGACAAGGAACAUAUUGUAAAAAAUAAAUACAUAAUUUCUGUAAGUCUGGUUGCCCCUGGUGAAGUACAUAUCUAAUUUAAUGUACUGCCCAUUUAUUCAUCCUGUGUGGCAAGACAGCUCUAGCUAGGUAACUGUCAGUGCAGAAGACUUACUUUUAAAAUGCCUGUGAACUGCUCUCCCUGUGUCUGUCUUUCACCUCUGGGCUCUCCUGAGAGAAAAGGAAAACAAAAACUACACACAGUAAGAGACAGACAGAGGGAUCACAGGGCAUCUCUUUUCAGUGGGAUUCCGCUGGGGAAGGAGAGAGGCUCAGAAACUGUCAUUUUAUUUAUUAUUGUUAUUACAGUAAAACCCUGAUUAUUAUCCAAACACCUCUAUUAUCCCAACAACCCUUUGAAUCCUUGAAUCCUUUGAAACCUUUAAAUAUCUUAUAUUUACAGGUUAUGAGUACCAUUUAAACAAUUUCACAAUUGUAAUUUGAUUAUCUGAACACCCCCUGAUCUCUGUUAGUUCCAACAAUAGUGGUAUUAUUAUUAUUAUUAUUAUUAUUAUUAUUAUUAUUAUUAUUAUUAUUAUUAUUAUUAUUAUUAUUAUUAUUAUAAUAUUUACUGGUUUGCUAUUCUUUUUAGAGAAUAAAACGUGGCAAGCUCUCGUCACCCUGCUGCCCUGAAAGGCAGUACUAGCUGUGUGGGAGCCUGCAGCUCCACCUCCCCAGCAGAGGGUGCUGUGAGCGGGUUUCAGUAAUCCUUAAGAGUGAGGGAGGAAAAAAAGUUCAAAACAUAAAAAAAAUGUAGUUUGAUUAGUUCCUGCCUAUUUGUCUAACUGAAUGUUUAUAUAUUUGUAAUUGUUAUUAAAGCUAAGGCCCUCAGCCCCUGUAAUACACUGUUUCAAUACAGGAUUUGGGGGAUUAUUCAGACACAUCUCUGAAUAACCCUUAAUUGUUUAUAGUGGUAAAUUUGUGUAUCUGUGCUAAAGUCACAUCCCGACUGAAAUGCCGUAUCAGGUAGAUUGAUUUAGAAACAACUGUCUCUUUCUCAGCCUGCGCUUUUGUUGCCCCCUCUUUGUAUUAGUAUGUAUGAAAACACAAAACGCUCUGAAAUUAAAUGUGUUUCUGUGGUGCUAUUGUUGAAUAUUUAUACACGGCUCUCCAGUCUCAUAGGACACAGUGCCACCUGGGGUCCAUGAAGUGUAACUGCAGUUCAUUAUCAAAGGAUAAAGAGAGUUUUUUGGACACAUCUUAUUGGACACACUUACUGAGAUCACAGGGGCACAGUGAGGGACAGAGAGACCAAGACACACAAGAUAACCACAAAGAUUGGACUCACUCACAAGCACCAGAACCACUGACAAACACACUGCUUUGAUUUGUACUCUGUCACUCACUCAACAAUACAGGUCUCAAGCACCACUACAUUGAAAAAUAGCAGCUGACUUGAAUGGGGUAAUAGCUUAUUUUUCCUUUUUUUUUUCAACCCUGUAAUCACACACAGUAGCAUUCUUACCCCUACUGGUUAGAUCAAAUAAUGAAUAAAAACAGUAUAGAAGCUGCAAUUGUCACUCCAUCAUCAAUACAUUCUCAACCACCACGACAUUACAAAAAAGCAGCUGACUUGGAGUUAAUAUCUGAGAAUACUACUUAAUAGCACAUACACUCGUACUGUAAAUCACACACAUGUGCUUUUCUCUCCUGGUUAGAGACUAUUUUAGCAAUGGCUUGUACCUGCAAAAAUACUGAUUCUACACCAAUAUUGCUGUGGACAAAUACUAAAGAUAAAUCUUCAUACAUUGUAUAAGAAGUUAGCAUGCUAUUUUAACCAUGUGUUUUUGUUUUACCAGUCACGCUCAUACUGUAAUCACACACUACCUUCCACUUGCACUGCACAAACUAUUUGGAUUCAGCGCUCCACAGAAUUCAGAUGCUGACAAUUAGGUGAUGGUCACUGGUAUUGAUUGGACUGAUUUAAAAUUACAAGUGAAGAAACCGCUGGUUGGAUUUUUGAUUGUUGCUUUUCCAGACAGCUCUUUUUUCACUUGAAAUGGUAAACCACCAACCACCCUCAUCUGAUUGUUCGGAUCAAGCUCUCCACAAUUGAAUAAUCGCUUUCUGCUGCCACUCUGAGUGAUUGUGAUCGUGCCACAGACCCCCAUCGGGGCCGGUACAGGGAGUGUGACUGUGCUCACCCUCCAAGUUGAUAAGGAAGCUGCCCCUGACAGUGAGUGCGUCCGCUGACAGGUCCCGGGGCAGGCUGGUCUGAGGCGUCAUCAUCAGCUCACACAGCUGGGAGAUGCUGGAAAAGGGCGUCUCCUGCAGGAACUGCAAGCACAGGCAGGGGGCACCACUUGUACAUAACUUAUUAUAAAUCAGGUUUUAAUUAAAAGAAAAGCACACAGUACACAGUUAAUGCCGUUACCCAUGUGUUUAGAAUUGUCAGCUGGAGGUCGGCCAUCCAUGAGACAAUUCUUUUGACAAAAUAAGCUGCCCUGAAAUGUUUUUAAAUCUGGCAUUUUGAUUGUCAGAGUGGCUUCAUGAUUUAUAAUUAAUACAAUAAUCUUUCACUGUCUAAUGACGGAGUGUACAUGUUUGAGUGCCUGUAGAGAGAGUGGGCUCUUCUGGUAUAUUGUCCCCAGGCAGCACCCAGCUCUCUCCUGUACACUGUGGCACCCCCGUUGUCAUCAUGUGUACAGCGGUGUUACUGACCUCCAGUAGGCCCGGCUUGAUGGCAAUGGUCAGGUCGAACUCUGUAGCAUUGGGCCCGGGGGAUGGAGCUCAGGAAGGAGUCCCUGAUGGCACACGACCCCUCAACCACCUCCACCAGACCUGGCUUCUUCCACAGACAGCUGGCCUUGAUCCACCCGCUCCGGAACAGGGUCUCUGACUCUGAAACAACACGAGCAAGAACAUCAGUCAAUACACUGACCAGACACUACACGCUAGGGCAGCCUCCACCCGUUCCCAGUAUGGGUACAAGUGCGUUUUGUUCAAGGGGUGGUGCUUGUCGCGUGGUUUUGAACCCAUGACAUGCCCUAUGGCAGUUGUACUGCAAUUUUUACAGGACCUUUUUGAAGAGGGGAAAUCUCCCUCUACUCUAAAGGUCUAUUUGGCAGCCAUUUCGGUGUGCCAUGCAUUCAGUUGAGCUCACAUUUGUCUUUCAAGGCAGCUUUCUUGCUUGCUAUCACCUCUGCUAAGCGGGUGAGUGAAAUGCAGGCACUCUCAAUUUCAAAAGCUUGUCUAAUUUUUUCAGAGGCCUGAACGAGAGUCACCCUUCGUACUGACCCUGCUUUUUUGCCGAAGAUCAUCUCAACUUUCCACGUUAACCACACAGUGGAAUUGGAAGCUUUCCAUCCCCAUCCUUUCCAAUCCGACAGGGAGCACCAGCUCCAUACGCUUUGCCCAGUGCGGGCAUUAGCGUAUUAAAAGCUGGAGGUAGUCAGAACAAUUUUUUGUUUGUUAUAGAGCUAAGUCCCAGGGACAGGCUCUGUCUAAACAGCAUCUGUCUAAAUGGCUGACAGGAACAGUCCAGCGUCUGAGAAGCUCACCGGCCAUUCCACCAGGGGUCUGGCAACUUCAUGGGCUUUGUUCCAAGGUGUAUCUAUCCAGGACAUAUGCAGUGCAGCAGUUUGGGCUUCCUCCCAUACGUUUGCCAGGUUCUAUUGGCUGAAUGUCAUGGACCUGCAGAAUCCUGGAUCUGGCACUAGUGUACUGAGGGCGGCUUCCCAGUCCACCCUCACGUCAGAACAUUAGAGGAGAGUUCAUCUUAAAUUAUUUAAUUUUUUUCCAGACUGCUUGAAUACUGUUCAUAUACUGCGACAAUGGUAAUGGUAAUGGUUAACAUUCCAUACUUGAAUUUCGCUGAAAUAGGAAUAUUAACCAUUAACUUCGGGGUCGCAGCAUUUAUGGUCCCAGUUCUCAUAGCAAAAUGAUGAUGUUAUCAGGGCGCGUAGCUGGUUUAUUGCUGCGUCACCGUGCUCUGAUGAGAGUCUUUAGUAUAAAUGUUUUCAGGUUUGGAUGUCUUAAAGGGGAAAGACCCAUUUGUAAUGGUUAAUAUUCCUAUUUCAGGGUACCAGGGUUAUGAUAAUAACCCAAUGUUUUCCCGUUCUGGAAAAGCAUUACACCUCGAUUUCCAUCUCUGUCAGUAGUUGCCCUGCGAUGCUUAGCAGUACCAGUCAACAGUGUCAAUGCAGAGCGAUCCUACUCAUCUUUUAAUAACGUGCUGCUCGGGGUGACAGACGUUGCAUCAGAAGUGACAAUCUCUCAAUGUAGAACUUGUUGUACCAAAAAUCGCAAAACAGUGUGUAAAGGAAUUUACCAAAAAGAAUCACCAAGUUAAACACUUAUCCAUUAUGGUUGUUUGAAAAAGUAUUGUACAAAAAUAAACAAAUAAUUCCAAAACAGUUUACUUUUGCAAGCAAAAGAAAUAUUCCCAUGUUAUAAUAUAUUGUGUUAAAUAAAUGCAUAUUUACGUUCACAUUCAAAAUUCUUGGUUGCCAUGACCAGUCACAUUUUCUACUUUUUACCAUGACUGUGCCGUGAAUUAUGCAUAAUUUUACUGCGACAAAAUCGUAUCCAAAGUUAUAAUUAAAGAGCAUUAAUUAGUUAUUAAUUGUUCUUUUUUUUCUGGGGAAGAGCUGCCUAUUGAUGCCUGAUGCCCAUAUUCCAGGGAUGGAAAUAAGACUCCUAUUUCAUAGCAGUUUCACCUAGUCCAGGUUUUACUACAGGUCUGAUUAGCCACAGUGUAUAGGUAACAAGCUCAGGUGUCUUAC
This is a long non-coding RNA of Acipenser ruthenus (sterlet), 5654 nucleotides long. RefSeq lists it as uncharacterized. NCBI's taxonomy places the organism in Eukaryota, Metazoa, Chordata, Actinopteri, Acipenseriformes, Acipenseridae. The record is from RefSeq and is a predicted model, not a curated record. The transcript has 4 exons.